AAUGGGCGAAAGCCUGAUGCAGCAACGCCGCGUGAGCGAAGAAGGCCUUUGGGUCGUAAAGCUCUGUCGAGAAGGAAGAUAAUGACGGUACUUCUCGAGGAAGCCCCGGCUAACUACGUGCCAGCAGCCGCGGUAAUACGUAGGGGGCGAGCGUUAUCCGGAAUUAUUGGGCGUAAAGAGUGCGUAGGUGGUUGUUUAAGCGUGGGGUGAAAGGCAAUAGCUCAACUAUUGUAAGCCCCGCGAACUGGGCGACUUGAGUGCAGGAGAGGAAAGCGGAAUUCCUAGUGUAGCGGUGAAAUGCGUAGAUAUUAGGAGGAACACCAGUGGCGAAGGCGGCUUUCUGGACUGUAACUGACACUGAGGCACGAAAGCGUGGGGAGCAAA
RNAcentral lists this ribosomal RNA (384 nucleotides) under uncultured bacterium. RNAcentral describes it as "bacterial SSU rRNA". It matches the Rfam family "Bacterial small subunit ribosomal RNA", at positions 370 to 772 of the family's 1533-position model. The record is from RNAcentral.